Molecule: ribosomal RNA, 252 nt
Filed under: uncultured bacterium
Lineage: Bacteria
Description: partial 16S ribosomal RNA
Rfam family: Bacterial small subunit ribosomal RNA
Source: RNAcentral
UACGGAGGAUGCGAGCGUUAUCCGGAUUUAUUGGGUUUAAAGGGUGCGUAGGCGGCCUGCCAAGUCAGCGGUAAGAUUGCGGGGCUCAACCCCGUACAGCCGUUGAAACUGCCGGGCUCGAGUGGGCGAGAAGUAUGCGGAAUGCGUGGUGUAGCGGUGAAAUGCAUAGAUAUCACGCAGAACCCCGAUUGCGAAGGCAGCAUACCGGCGCCCUACUGACGCUGAGGCACGAAAGUGCGGGGAUCAAACAGG